RNAcentral lists this ribosomal RNA (478 nucleotides) under uncultured bacterium. Its description in RNAcentral is "partial 16S ribosomal RNA". It matches the Rfam family "Bacterial small subunit ribosomal RNA", at positions 28 to 507 of the family's 1533-position model. The record is from RNAcentral.
GAUGAACGCUGGCGGCGUGCUUAACACAUGCAAGUCGAACGAGAAGUGAAGACGGAAACCUUCGGGCGGAAGGCUUUAUUUCGAGUGGCGGACGGGUGAGUAACGCGUGGGUAACCUGCCUCAUACAGGGGGAUAACAGUUGGAAACGACUGUUAAUACCGCAUAAGACCACAGCACCGCAUGGUGCGGGGGUAAAAACUCCGGUGGUAUGAGAUGGACCCGCGUUCGAUUAGCCAGUUGGCGGGGUAACGGCCCACCAAAGCGACGAUCGAUAGCCGAUCUGAGAGGAUGACCGGCCACAUUGGGACUGAGACACGGCCCAAACUCCUACGGGAGGCAGCAGUGGGGAAUAUUGCACGAUGGGGGAAACCCUGAUGCAGCGACGCCGCGUGAGUGAAGAAGUAUUUCGGUAUGUAAAGCUCUAUCAGCAGGGAAGAAAAUGACGGUACCUGAGGAAGAAGCCCCGGCUAACUACGUG